This 406-nucleotide ribosomal RNA is filed under the name uncultured bacterium. Its description in RNAcentral is "partial 16S ribosomal RNA". It matches the Rfam family "Bacterial small subunit ribosomal RNA", at positions 30 to 526 of the family's 1533-position model. The record is from RNAcentral.
AUUGAACGCUGGCGGCAGGCCUAACACAUGCAAGUCGAACGAGUGGCGGACGGGUGAGUAAUGUCUGGGAAACUGCCCGAUGGAGGGGGAUAACUACUGGAAACGGUAGCUAAUACCGCAUACCAUCGGAUGUGCCCAGAUGGGAUUAGCUUGUAGGUGAGGUAACGGCUCACCUAUGCGACGAUACCUAGCUGGUCUGAGAGGAUGACCAACCACACGGGAACUGAGACACGGUCGAGACUCCGACGGGCGGCAGCAGUGGGGAAUAUUGCACAAUGGGCGCAAGCCUGAUGCAGCCACGCCGGGUGUAUGAAGAAUGCCUUCGGGGUGUAAAGUACGUUCAGCGGGGAGGCGUUACCCGCAGAAGAAGCACCGGCUAACUCCGGGUCAGCCGCCGCGGUAAUAC